Molecule: non-coding RNA, 162 nt
Filed under: chicken gut metagenome
Source: RNAcentral
ACGAGGUUCCUGUGCUUUCUCCACAGGCUAAGAGGAAAGAGGGGUAGUUUUUAUUCCCCCGCGGUCACGCCGCUGUAAAGGACGAGCUGGUUUCAAUAUGUCACUGGGCAACCGGGAAGGCGAAACACAGCGAGGACUCCUGAGCCAGAAGACCUGCCCGUC